RNAcentral lists this ribosomal RNA (402 nucleotides) under uncultured prokaryote. Its description in RNAcentral is "bacterial SSU rRNA". It matches the Rfam family "Bacterial small subunit ribosomal RNA", at positions 355 to 774 of the family's 1533-position model. The record is from RNAcentral.
UGGGGAAUAUUGCACAAUGGAGGAAACUCUGAUGCAGCAACGCCGCGUGGAGGAUGACGCAUUUCGGUGUGUAAACUCCUUUUAUAAGGGAAGAUAAUGACGGUACCUUAUGAAUAAGCACCGGCUAACUCCGUGCCAGCAGCCGCGGUAAUACGGAGGGUGCAAGCGUUACUCGGAAUCACUGGGCGUAAAGGAUGCGUAGGCUGGAAAUCAAGUCGAAAGUGAAAUCCAACGGCUCAACCGUUGAACUGCUUUCGAAACUGGUUACCUAGAAUAUGGGAGAGGUAGAUGGAAUUAGUGGUGUAGGGGUAAAAUCCGUAGAUAUCACUAGGAAUACCGAUUGCGAAGGCGAUCUACUGGAACAUUAUUGACGCUGAGGCAUGAAAGCGUGGGGAGCAAACA